CCUACGGGAGGCAGCAGUGAGGAAUAUUGGUCAAUGGACGAGAGUCUGAACCAGCCAAGUAGCGUGAAGGAUGACUGCCCUAUGGGUUGUAAACUUCUUUUAUAUGGGAAUAAAAUGUUCCACGUGUGGGAUUUUGUAUGUACCAUAUGAAUAAGGCUCGGCUAACUCCGUGCCAGCAGCCGCGGUAAUACGGAGGAUCCGAGCGUUAUCCGGAUUUAUUGGGUUUAAAGGGAGCGUAGGUGGAUUGUUAAGUCAGUUGUGAAAGUUUGCGGCUAAACCGUAAAAUUGCAGUUGAAACUGGCAGUCUUGAGUACAGUAGAGGUGGGCGGAAUUCGUGGUGUAGCGGUGAAAUGCGUAGAUAUCACGAAGAACUCCGAUUGCGAAGGCAGUUCACUGGACUGAAACUGACACUGGGGCUCGAAAGUGUGGGUAUCAAACAGGAUUAGAACCCCAGUAGUC
This 459-nucleotide ribosomal RNA is filed under the name uncultured bacterium. RNAcentral's name for it is "partial 16S ribosomal RNA". It matches the Rfam family "Bacterial small subunit ribosomal RNA", at positions 338 to 795 of the family's 1533-position model. The record is from RNAcentral.